Molecule: long non-coding RNA, 823 nt
Filed under: Mytilus galloprovincialis (Mediterranean mussel)
Lineage: Eukaryota; Metazoa; Mollusca; Bivalvia; Mytilida; Mytilidae
Source: RNAcentral
GACCAAAAAUUAAGAAUCUACAUACACAGUUAGAUUCAGCAUAUCAAAGAAAUAAUUCUCUCUAAAUUUUUCUUACAUUUAACAUUGGCACCUUUUUUGUUUAAAAAAACUAUGAAAAAAUAACAAGGAUUUCAUAAGAUUUUGAAAUAUGGCUUUUUAAACUAUAUGUAAUAAAAAUAUAAAAAGAAAAGUAGGGGUUAGUGGGCUUUUUUUUUUAAUAUUAAUACAUGUAUAUAACCAGAGGAUUCCGAAAAUCUGGCAAAAAUUCAAAAAUUAGAGGAGCAAACAUCAUUAAAGCUUAAAUGUUAUGUUAGGGUAAUGUUAAUUACAGGCAAGUCUACUGUACCAGAACAAAGGAACAUCUAGAUGCUGGACCAUGAAACCAAUAUGUUAUGCCUGGCUAUUGGUAUUGGGUUUUCUGGUCUGUGCAAACAUCUGUUGUCUUUGGAAGAUUACUCUUAUUUUUUGUUAUCAGCAAGUUGUUACUAGUGAUACAUGUUCAUUCUGAUAUUAAACUUUUAGAAUUAAAUGCCAAAUGAGAGAGUGGUAAUGGGGCUACCUUCAUGAGGAAUAAUGGUUAAAAAAAUCUUGCCAAAAAAAAUCAACUAAUUAUAACAAAUCUCGUUCUCAGAUCUUCUCUGAUCAUGUUAUUUUUUUUCUCCAAAAAUAAUAGUAACAAUAAUUAUUUGAGACUCUCAAGAAUCACAAUAAGGAUUUUUUUAAGAAUCAUAUUAAAAUUUAACCCAAUUUGAUGGUUAACAAUAGCCGAAAAUGAUCAUUUGAUGCCUGAUGCUAAAGAGAAUUCAUACCCUCAAAUAAGGGC